GAUGAAGAACGCAGUGAAAUGCGAUAAGUAAUGUGAAUUGCAGAAUUCAGUGAAUCAUCGAAUCUUUGAACGCACAUUGCGCCCCUUGGUAUUCCGAGGGGCAUGCCUGUUCGAGCGUCAUUAUAACCCCUCAAGCUCAGCUUGGUGUUGGGGCCUGCUGCACUGGCAGCCCUUAAAAUCAGUGGCGGCGCCAUCUGGCUCUAAGCGUAGUAAUUCUUCUCGCUAUGGAGUCCUGGUGGAUGCUUGCCAUCAACCCCCAAUUUUUCUAUGGUUGACCUCGGAUCAGGUAGGGAUACCCGCUGAACUUAAGCAUAUCAUAAGCGGAGA
RNAcentral lists this unclassified non-coding RNA (327 nucleotides) under soil metagenome. Its description in RNAcentral is "partial contains 5.8S ribosomal RNA, internal transcribed spacer 2, and large subunit ribosomal RNA". The stretch from base 1 to 120 matches the Rfam family "5.8S ribosomal RNA", at positions 35 to 154 of the family's 154-position model. The record is from RNAcentral.